UCCAAGAUGGCGGUACAACAGGGCAAAAAGACUAUAGAUUCUAUUACGAAAAUCGGGAUUUUUGCAUUUUUUGCCGUCGCAUUGUUUCGAAACUUAUUCGGUCAAAUUUUAUGGUAAAGAAAAACUUAUCGCGAAGAUUUUGAGCAUAUAUAUGACUAAAUUGGAUGAAAAAUCGCAAAAUUAUCCAGCGAUAAAAGUUCGUGUGAAAUGGUCAGUUGGAGCGUUUUAUUGCCAGAAAUACUGUGCUAUGUUAACAUCUAGCCUCGUGAAUGGUGUUUUAUACUUGCAUCUCUCAUCAUCAUCUGCUCUGUCCUCAUAAUUGUGAAAAAUGAACUGUUAUGUACCCC
This is a non-coding RNA of Paramuricea clavata, 347 nucleotides long. Lineage: Eukaryota; Metazoa; Cnidaria; Anthozoa; Malacalcyonacea; Plexauridae. The record is from the annotation of a GenBank genome assembly.